CGUAGGCGCGAGCGUUGUCCGGAAUUAUUGGCGUAAGAGCUUGUAGGCGGUUUGUCGCGUCUGCUGUGAAAGCCCGGGCUUAACCCCGGUUGGUCAGUGGUACGGGCGAGACUAGAGUGCAGUAGGGAGGACUGGAAUUCCUGGUGUAGCGGUGAAAUAGCGCAGAUAUCAGGAGGAACACCAAUGGCGAAGGCAGGUCGUCUGGGCUGUAACUGACGCUGAGAAGCGAAAGACAUGGGAGCGAACAGGAUU
RNAcentral lists this ribosomal RNA (252 nucleotides) under uncultured bacterium. RNAcentral's name for it is "partial 16S ribosomal RNA". It matches the Rfam family "Bacterial small subunit ribosomal RNA", at positions 526 to 779 of the family's 1533-position model. The record is from RNAcentral.